AACCGCGGUUAUACGAAAGGCCCAAGUUGACAAGCCAUCGGCGUAAAGGGUGGUUAAUAAUAUAAAUAAACUAAAGCCGAAUGCCUCUCAAACAGUUUAAUGCCUAAGAGGUAAGAAGAACACUUACGAAAGUAGCUUUAUUCUAUUGACGCCACGAGAGCUGGGGUA
Molecule: ribosomal RNA, 168 nt
Filed under: Apletodon dentatus
Lineage: Eukaryota; Metazoa; Chordata; Actinopteri; Blenniiformes; Gobiesocidae
Description: partial small subunit ribosomal RNA
Source: RNAcentral